UGUAAAUCUACAUUUAACACGCUUUUUUUUUCUUUGCAUCUAAUCUAACUGCAUAGAUGAAGAUAUAUUUCUUUUACGAGAAUGUAAACGUUACUGUAUGGUUUUCCGUUAUACAAUAAUAAAGGAAAGCCUUUCAGAAACAAAAAGCAAGGCCAAUGACACUACCUCCAGCUGAAACAACAUUCCCAGUGAGCAGCCGAAAAUUCCAGGCUCACAUGGGUCUCACGAGCCACAUAAGGAGGCACAAAGCCCCAGUAAAGAGAGUGACAUGGUCUCCAUAUGGAAUCACGAUAGACGUACUAUAUAUAUA
Biomphalaria glabrata is the source of this 310-nucleotide long non-coding RNA. RefSeq lists it as uncharacterized. The record is from RefSeq and is a predicted model, not a curated record. The transcript has 2 exons. NCBI's taxonomy places the organism in Eukaryota, Metazoa, Mollusca, Gastropoda, Planorbidae.